UGAGACUCAGCCCGCUCUCCGCCCGCCGCACUCAUUCAUCCUGCCUGUCCUCCAUUAUUUACGCGUUGUUAAGGAGCGCUCGGGCUUUCAGGAUUCGGCGGUCUGUGAUUUACAGAAAUCCUGGUGAUCUCCCGUGACAAGAUCUUUCAUUCUGUGGCCUGCUGAGCACAUGAAUAUAUGACCCUGUGAAAUGUAGCUGAAACACUGAGGUUUUGGACACCUCAGAGAUUAUGUGUGACCAAAGCAUUUAUUUUGAGGAACACCAAACUCAGCCAGAGGGUGCCUUCAAUUCUCAGCCUGUGGCCAUAGCUAUGACAACGGGAAAAUAUGCAUAAUACUGGAAGCUACCCUGCUGGGAUAGGCACUCCAAGGACAAUUUCUCUUUGUGACGAAAUUGGGCAGUGCUGUGAAAUUACAUCAGAUGUAGCCUUGCUUAUUUUUUCCUAUUGUUGUCAACACAACAUAUGCAAACUCUUUUGAGCUACCAACUCUCAUCUCUUACAUCAAGGAAACUGAAUCAUCUACCUUGGCCUAAAAAAAAUUAACAGAGUUUGUAUAAAUAUAUUUUGAUAAUGUCCUUGAGAUUCCCGAAGACACAAAGAAGCAGGAACAGGGCACUGGACAACUGUUCAGGCCAAAAGCAGCAGAGAAUACUGAAAAGUUUGACAGUGAGUGCUUCCCUUUGAGGUAAGAUAUAAUUUUAUUUUUAUAACAAAAAGAAGAAAAAAAAAAUCAGAAGAAUUUAACCAAACUUGACAGAACAGUGAUUUCUGACUGUUCUGAUAUCCAGACAGGAUUUCUGACAAGCUGGUUGCAAAUCUGGUCAAAGGUAUUUAAGCUUUCACAAUGUUUGGUGACAUAUUAACAAUAUUUGACUUUACACCUACAUGACAACUGCUGAAGUAAUAAGUAUGAACUGCUACUAGCUCAUUAAAGGUUUCUGUGUCUGAUACAAGCAAUAGAUAAUCUCUUGGGGCUGGGGGAGGGAGGGGCAUUUCAGAAAGAAAAGCAUAUCAUGAAAGAAAAUGGACAGAAGAAUUACAGCUAAAGAAAAUUCUGAAAAUUGUAAAAUACAAAUGCCUUCCAUACAGAAGUGGAACCACUAGUAGAUUAUGCUUACCUUGUCUGGAAACAGAAUGCAUCAAUUACUUACUAUAUGUAAUGGCUCUCUGAUCCAUUGAACACAAUCACUCAAUAAUGUCCUAACUUUUCCACUAUGACACAAAAAUGUUGUCCAAGUUCAAAAUUUCACAAAAGACCAGUAAACUGCCUGUCCCAAUUUUACAAAAAUAGUGCAGUAA
Serinus canaria (Common canary) is the source of this 1301-nucleotide long non-coding RNA. RefSeq lists it as uncharacterized. The transcript is spliced from 6 exons. NCBI's taxonomy places the organism in Eukaryota, Metazoa, Chordata, Aves, Passeriformes, Fringillidae. The record is from RefSeq and is a predicted model, not a curated record.